This 71-nucleotide transfer RNA is filed under the name Devosia sp. Its description in RNAcentral is "tRNA-Cys". It matches the Rfam family "tRNA". Rfam says of the family: Transfer RNA (tRNA) molecules are approximately 80 nucleotides in length. Their secondary structure includes four short double-helical elements and three loops (D, anti-codon, and T loops). The record is from RNAcentral. Lineage: Bacteria; Pseudomonadati; Pseudomonadota; Alphaproteobacteria; Hyphomicrobiales; Devosiaceae. RNAcentral also lists the same sequence under 1 other name.
GGUGGCAUAGCCAAGUGGUAAGGCAGUGGCCUGCAAAGCCUCCAUCCCCAGUUCAAAUCUGGGUGCCACCU